GCCUCUUUGGGAGAGCCACUCUCUUUUCCUAAAGACCAGCUGGGGUCAAAGCCAUUUGGACAAUCUCUGGAUAAUCGAGAUUUUGAGAGCAGAAUCUUAAAGAGCAUUCAUGAAGAGGGGGAGCUAGGGCCAAGAAGGACUCUCUCAAAGGUCAUACAGAUGAGCCAGAAGUCUUAUCCAGCCCAUCUUUCGUCAAAGCCACCACGACGCAUGUGUUUAACUCUGUGGAAAUGGGGAGCCUGAGGUGUGAUGCUCAGAGCCACACAGCCA
Heterocephalus glaber (naked mole-rat) is the source of this 270-nucleotide long non-coding RNA. Lineage: Eukaryota; Metazoa; Chordata; Mammalia; Rodentia; Bathyergidae. The record is from Ensembl.